UUAUGCCUUUGAUGACAGCACAACAAAUGAAAUGGUUUACAGGUUUACUGCAAGACCCCUUGUGGAAACCAUCUUUGAUAGAGGAAUGGCCACAUGCUUUGCUUAUGGCCAAACAGGAAGUGGAAAAACUCAUACCAUGGGUGGAGAUUUUUCAGGAAAGAACCAGGAUUGU
This is a long non-coding RNA of Sinocyclocheilus anshuiensis, 172 nucleotides long. RefSeq lists it as uncharacterized. Lineage: Eukaryota; Metazoa; Chordata; Actinopteri; Cypriniformes; Cyprinidae. The record is from RefSeq and is a predicted model, not a curated record. The transcript is spliced from 3 exons.